CCUACGGGGGGCAGCAGUGGGGAAUUUUGGACAAUGGGGGCAACCCUGAUCCAGCCAUGCCGCGUGCGGGAAGAAGGCCUUCGGGUUGUAAACCGCUUUUGUCAGGGAAGAAAUCUUCCGAGCUAAUACCUUGGGAGGAUGACGGUACCUGAAGAAUAAGCACCGGCUAACUACGUGCCAGCAGCCGCGGUAAUACGUAGGGUGCAAGCGUUAAGUGAAAUUACUGGGGGUGGUUGUUGCGCAGAGGGGUGAAAUCCCCUGGCUUAACCUGGGAACUGCACUUGUGACUGUACGGCUGGAGUACGGCAGAGGGGGAUGGAAUUCCGCGUGUAGCAGUGAAAUGCGUAGAUAUGCGGAGGAACACCGAUGGCGAAGGCAGUCCCCUGGGCCUGUACUGACGCUCAUGCACGAAAGCGUGGGGAGCAAACAGGAUUAGAUACCCUUGUAGUC
Molecule: ribosomal RNA, 450 nt
Filed under: uncultured bacterium
Lineage: Bacteria
Description: partial 16S ribosomal RNA
Rfam family: Bacterial small subunit ribosomal RNA
Source: RNAcentral